RNAcentral lists this transfer RNA (74 nucleotides) under Phlebiopsis gigantea 11061_1 CR5-6. RNAcentral describes it as "tRNA-Lys (CTT) (tRNA-Lys-CTT-3-1)". It matches the Rfam family "tRNA". From Rfam's summary of the family: Transfer RNA (tRNA) molecules are approximately 80 nucleotides in length. Their secondary structure includes four short double-helical elements and three loops (D, anti-codon, and T loops). Lineage: Eukaryota; Fungi; Basidiomycota; Agaricomycetes; Polyporales; Phanerochaetaceae. The record is from RNAcentral.
UCCCGGGAUAGCUCAGCUGGCAGAGCACCAGACUCUUUUUCUGCAGGUCCCGUGUUCAAUCCACGGUCCUGGAA